Suncus etruscus (white-toothed pygmy shrew) is the source of this 172-nucleotide long non-coding RNA. RefSeq lists it as uncharacterized. The record is from RefSeq and is a predicted model, not a curated record. The transcript is spliced from 2 exons. Lineage: Eukaryota; Metazoa; Chordata; Mammalia; Eulipotyphla; Soricidae.
AGCAUGGAGGUAAGGCGUUUGCCUUUCAUGCAGAAGGAUGGUGGCUUGAAUCCCAGCAUCCCAUAUGGUCCCCCAUGCCUGCCAGGGGCGAUUUUCUGAGCAUAGAGCCAGGAGUAACCCCUGAGCGCUGCCAGUUGUGACCCAAAAGCCAAAAGAAAGAAAGAAAGAAAAA